RNAcentral lists this ribosomal RNA (376 nucleotides) under uncultured bacterium. Its description in RNAcentral is "bacterial SSU rRNA". It matches the Rfam family "Bacterial small subunit ribosomal RNA", at positions 30 to 409 of the family's 1533-position model. The record is from RNAcentral.
AUUGAACGCUGGCGGCAUGCCUUACACAUGCAAGUCGAACGGCAGCACGGGGGCAACCCUGGUGGCGAGUGGCGAACGGGUGAGUAACAUAUCGGAACAUACCCUAGAGUGGGGGAUAACGUAGCGAAAGUUACGCUAAUACCGCAUACGAUCUAAGGAUGAAAGUGGGGGAUCUUCGGACCUCAUGCUCAUGGAGUGGCCGAUAUCUGAUUAGCUAGUUGGUGAGGUAAAGGCUCACCAAGGCGACGAUCAGUAGCUGGUUUGAGAGAACGACCAGCCACACUGGAACUGAGACACGGUCCAGACUCCUACGGAGGCAGCAGUGGGGAAUUUUGGACAAUGGGGCAACCUGAUCCAGCAAUGCCGCGUGAGUGAA